AUGCAAGUAUCUUUAUUUCUCAAACUUUAAAGUAAAACACACGAAAAGAUAAUCCAUGUGCUGUCCCCAGAUGUAUAGAAAGGUAUGCAAGAUUGUACCUUCUGCCAAGUGUGUUGAAAUGAUCUAGACACCUAUAUAUCGAUACUCACUUGUUUUCACAUUACUACUAGUAAAUCACACAGACAAUUCGCUUUGCUUUGGUAGAAUUCCAAUUCCCAGUCAAUUAGAUUUCUUCCAAAACUAAAACAAAGCAGCAAAAGGUGACAAACAAGUAUAAGGAGGUUUGUCCUACUUAGUUUUUUAGCUUUCGCUUUUACUUUCUCUUUUACUCUUAUUUUCCGUGCACAUCCCAACUCUUAGCUACAUUAAUCAAUGAGGUUAAGCCGAUGACUUUGGGAUUUGGCAGGAUCAGAAAGUAAGUUGGCAUGCAACACCAUUUGAAGAGAGACUGGAAAAGGCAUUAUCACAAGAAACUUCCAUUUCACAAAGGUAUUCAAUCCUUCUCUCUUGGUAUAAGUUCUUUUGUUGGUUUGGGAAUUGGGAUACCGGACCUUUGUUCCAUUUGGUUGAGAUGCUGCUCGAUCUCAGUUGUAUGCCAGAUGUUCAAAGUGUAUGGAUUGCUGCAGAAAGUCAACCUAAGACUAACAGAAGGCAAAAAGAAAACAAAGAAAAGGUUUAUCAACAUGUUGACUUAGCUGGUUAUAUGGCCAAAUGAGUUGCCUUAGUUAUCUUAUUACUGAACUUGACUAUUCUUCAUACAUAUGCCAAUAGGAAAAGAAGACUAUUAACUUGAUAUAUAUCCUCAAAUAGACAUUUCCAGACAGAAACUAAAACAUUUAGCAGAUUUUCCCUAAAUAUGUAUGUAACAAGGCCUCUUUCUUACUACCAAAAGAAUCCAGAUGCUCUUUCAUUACCGCCUGAAGGUCCAAUUUAGGUUACUUAGUGAUUCAAGAUGAGGAAUCUGAAACUUAUUGCUGUUUUGGACUUUGUAAAAAUUAUGAUGUCAGGGACCUGCCUUUCCCUCAGAACAAGAAGUUGACAUGUGCAGGUGGUCUUCUUCUCCCCUUGACUGUCUUGUGUAUUCUUUUAGCUGUAGAAGAGUCUUGACUGAAUUGUACCUAUCACUGAUGUCGACUGUCUUGUGUAUUCUUUUAGCUGUAGGUGUUAUUUCCUUCGUUUGCACUUGGAAGUAACCCCUACUGCUUGAAUCUGCUGCUUAUUUCUUGAAAUACACAACUUAAGGUCAGCUCUUAUUAAGUCCUUAAUAUUAUAAAUUUAUAACACAUCAGGAUUAUACACAUCAGGACUUAUUUUCUCUUAUUUCUCUGUACAAGUGCAAUAAGCACAGAAUUAUACACAUCAGGACAUAAACAAUUAUUAUUAGAAUUUUCCAGAUCACUCUCCAUGAAUUCCAAAAUCUCAAGCGCAGAAUUGAAAUUACCAGCUCGAGUAAACGAGUCGAGCAACAACUUAAAUAUUGCUGAAUUAAGCGACACUCCGUCAUGCCUCAUGGAGUUGAGGAUAACGAAAAUAUCUUCCCGGUGAUUGGCUGAAUUAAGAUGAUAUUGUUACAUGAGUGAUAGGUACAAUUCCACAAGAAGUUGAUUCUGUAGCAUUUGAAGCAGAAACAUCUAUUAGAAGAGUCUUGACUGAAUUGUACCUAUCACUGAUGUGACAAUAUUCUGUAGCAUUUGAAGCAGAAACAUCUAUUCUGUAACAGGACAUGAUCGACCAAUUAAUGCUACAGGUAAACAAGCUGCUAAUGCAACAGGUUACAAAGCUAAUGUUGUGAAUGGUGAUGGCAUGAACAAGUAGGGGUUGAGGCUUUAGAGUGUACAGAUGCUACAGCUACUAAGGCACAUGAACAAGCAGGGCAGUCCAAAAAAAUUGCAGAACCUACUGGUGAUAUAGGUGUGAACAAACAAGUUGGGCAGAUGCUUAGAUCUACAGGAAAAUCUGGACAGAUUUCAACAGAUGCAACUAAGGGUUGGCAAUAGUUAAUCUAUUAGUCAUCUGCAUUCAUCAAAGAAGUGGCUAUGAGUCAUCUGUGCAGUUUACCUUUAAUUGGAAAAUGCAACUAAGGAUCUAUGCAGUUAAUCUAUUACAGAUGCAACUAAGGAUCUAUGCAGUUUACCUUUAAUUGGAAAAUAAGAAGGAGCAUUAUCCAUGAGUCAGUUAAAGGAUUGGCUAUGAGUCAGUUUACCUUUAAUUGGAAAAUGCAACUAAGGCUAUGAGUCAGUUAAUCUAUUACAGAUGCCCAAGUAAGUCUAAUAUAGACUUACUAACUAGUUUUUAAGUCCAAGUUUUUAUUUUUAUACCUAAAUCACAAAUAUGUUCAUCCAUAACAUUUCCUUACCAAUUAAUAUAUCUCUUUAAAACUACAUUUAUUUUUUAAUGACACCCUCUUCAAGUUAACAACCAUGGGCACUUAGAAGCGCAUCUUAACACCUCUUACUUGUACUAAGCGUUGUCUAAGAAGGCAGAGCAUCAAACUAGACCAUACCUAGUUUCAGGCUUAUAGCCAAUAACUACAGUUGCCACAGACUGAGUUCUCUUUUUCCUUUCUUUUAUGCUAGAUAAUUACCUUUGUACUUGAAUAUGUUUACAAAAUAUCAGUGCACGCCCAGAUUCUUAGCACAGAAGACAUCAGUGGGUUUUGCAUUCUAGAGCACAGUGAAUGCAUUUACUCAUUUUUGCUGUUAUUAGUCUCUUUUAAAGAUAUUGAGCUGUGUAAACAACAACAACAACAACAACAACUACCCAGUUAUCCCAGCAGAUGGGGUAUGGGGAGGGUAAUAUGUAGACGAGCCUUACCCCUGCCCGUAAGGGCAGAGAGGCUGUUUCCAAACGACCCUCGGCGUGUAGGAUAAAAAGAG
RNAcentral lists this long non-coding RNA (2876 nucleotides) under Nicotiana benthamiana. Its description in RNAcentral is "long non-coding RNA (NBEN_LNC011398)". Lineage: Eukaryota; Viridiplantae; Streptophyta; Magnoliopsida; Solanales; Solanaceae. The record is from RNAcentral.